CCUCCGUUCGUCUCGCGGGGCAGAGAAGAUGGCUUCGCUCUUUUGUCGCCGUCAGUUGCGCCAAGCCCUCGGACACGAACGCGUCAAACGGGAGGCAUUCAUCUUGGAAUGCUCCCCCUCAGGAGCCAAGGUUGGCGGUUCGCUUUUGCCCAGCUCAGGGCAAUGCGAACGCCUCAACCUCCAGCCGCGCUGUCGACAGAGUGCCAGCUCUCACCCUUGGGAAAAGCGAAUCGAUGUCUCGGAGCAAGUUUCUCACUCUGCUGCUCAGUGAUGCAUCAGCAGAGCUCCUAAUAAAGCCUUCGUUCUUCU
Molecule: long non-coding RNA, 309 nt
Organism: Ixodes scapularis (black-legged tick)
Lineage: Eukaryota; Metazoa; Arthropoda; Arachnida; Ixodida; Ixodidae
Exons: 2
Source: RefSeq, a predicted model, not a curated record